CUCUACUCCAUUGUUCGAUAUGUCUAUAUUUACACCAAUACCUUAUUCUCUUGAUUACUAUAUCUUUGUGGUAAAGUUUUGGAAUUGGAAAGUGUGAAUCCUCAAACUUUGUUCUUUUACAACAUUGUUGUGGCUAUGUGUGGUCCCUUGCAAUUGUAUGGGAAUUUUUGAAUUAGCUUCUUGAUUUCAAAAAAUGUGAUAACUAAUAUUUUAUAGGGAUUGCCCAAGGUCUAUAACUCAAUUUGAAAGGCAUUUUUAUCUUAACAACAUUAAAUCUUCUAAUCCAUCAACAUGCACUAUAUUUAGAUCUUCUCUAAUUUCUUUCAGCAAUGUUUUAUGGUUUUCAGUGCAUACUCUUCAAAUCUCUGUAGUUAAAUUUAUUUCUAAGCAUUGUAUUCUUUUAAUGCUAUUGUAAACAUAAUCAAUUUGACUUUUAUUAUUGGCUGCCUCAUGGUUUAGUUGAACGAAUUUCUCUUUCCUCUGUAUCUUCUGCAAAUUGGUACUUGGAACUAAUAGUUUGAUCAAAUUCAGUCUUUAUUUUUGUCAAAAUCACUUCAUAGAUAUACCUACCUUGAGGCACAGAAUAUCUAGUUAUCUCCCUGCUAUGGCAGUAGCCAUUGAUGAUCAUUGAGUAGACUCAUUAAUCCAUUAGGGAUUGAAGAUAGUGAUAUUCUAAUUCCAUCAUAAUUUUUUUUGCUAGCUGGAAUGUAUCUAAAAAACAAAAAUUCCCUUUAUAUAUUAUUUGAUAUUAGACCAAAUGGAAAAUUUUAUGUAGGGAAUCACUCUAUUUUUAAGUGUGUAUCAAAAGAAAUUGUUACUUCCUGGAAUUAAUAAAAUUGGAGAACAUUCAGAUGAAAGGCUUAGUGUCUACCCCACUCACACAACUCUCUACUCUUAACAACACUUAGAUUAGUAUCUGCAACAGAGUAAGAUAAAAUAACAUCAUCAAUUCAUGUAUUUAUUCAACAGAUACUUGUUUAUCUCAUACUUCAAGAUAAAGAUAGAAAGUAUCUAUUGACUGGCAAUCCAGAUGCUAAUGAUUGUGUGACAAUUUCAUUGGAGAAUUGGAUGCCUACACUAUGUUAGGCACUAUGUUCAGUAUGUACAGAUAUGUUUCUUCAUUUCAUUUAAUAGACAGUUAAUCAAUGUACAUGAUUUUUCGUAUCUGUUAUCUAAGAUAAUGUACAUAAUGCUUUAUUAUCAAUGGGUGUUGUGCUUUGAGUUAACAAUAAGCAAAUAAAGUCAGUGUUUAUUAUAUAAUCCCUCAAGUUAGCAGUUAUUUAAAAAAUGGGAUAUCCAUGUUGUCAUUAAAUAUGUAGCAAAAAAUGAGAACAUUAAUUUGUUCAUGCAUACUUUUAAGAAAAUAAAUUCAGCUGUG
This 1378-nucleotide long non-coding RNA is filed under the name Marmota monax (woodchuck). Lineage: Eukaryota; Metazoa; Chordata; Mammalia; Rodentia; Sciuridae. The record is from RNAcentral.